UGCGUAGGCGGUUUCGAAAGUCCGAUGUGAAAUCCCCGGGCUUAACCUGGGAACUGCGUUGGAAACUACGAGGCUAGAGUGCGGCAGAGGGGGGUGGAAUUCCAGGUGUAGCAGUGAAAUGCGUAGAUAUCUGGAGGAACACCGAUGGCGAAGGCAGCCCCCUGGGUUAGCACUGACGCUGAUACACGAAAGCGUGGGGAGCAAACAGGAUUAGAUACCCUGGUAGUCCACGCCCUAAACGAUGGCAACUAGUUGUUGGAGGAUGAACUCCUUUAGUAACGCAGCUAACGCGUGAAGUUGCCCGCCUGGGGAGUACGGUCGCAAGAUUAAA
Molecule: ribosomal RNA, 331 nt
Filed under: uncultured bacterium
Lineage: Bacteria
Description: bacterial SSU rRNA
Rfam family: Bacterial small subunit ribosomal RNA
Source: RNAcentral